RNAcentral lists this ribosomal RNA (119 nucleotides) under Pteropus alecto (black flying fox). The record is from RNAcentral. Lineage: Eukaryota; Metazoa; Chordata; Mammalia; Chiroptera; Pteropodidae.
GUCUGUUGCCAUGCCACCCUCAACAAGCCUGAUCCCGUCUGACCUCGGAAGCUUUUCAGGAUCGGGCCUGGUUAGUACUUGGAUGGGAGACCACCUAGGAAGACCAAGUGCUAUAGGUG